GCAUCGAUAGCUUCAGUGGCAGAGCGGUGGGGCGUUUACCCAUGCGGCCCGGGUUCGAUCCCCGGUCGAUGCA
Non-coding RNA from Phthorimaea operculella (potato tuberworm), 73 nucleotides. NCBI's taxonomy places the organism in Eukaryota, Metazoa, Arthropoda, Insecta, Lepidoptera, Gelechiidae. The record is from the annotation of a GenBank genome assembly.